This 505-nucleotide ribosomal RNA is filed under the name uncultured Pseudomonadota bacterium. RNAcentral describes it as "bacterial SSU rRNA". It matches the Rfam family "Bacterial small subunit ribosomal RNA", at positions 384 to 873 of the family's 1533-position model. Lineage: Bacteria; Pseudomonadati; Pseudomonadota. The record is from RNAcentral.
UGAUCAAGCAAUGCCGCGUGAGUGAUGAAGGCUCGGGUUGUAAGCUCUUUUGGCGGGGACAAAAGGUCCGGGCUAAUACCACGGAUUUUGACGGUAUCUACCAAAAAGCCCCGGCUAACUACGUGCCAGCAGCCGCGGUAAUACGUAGGGUGCAAGCGUUAAUCGGAAUUACUGGGCGUAAAGCGUGCGCAGGCGGUUUUUUAAGUCUGAUGUGAAAUCCCCGGGCUCAACCUGGGAACUGCGUUUGAAACUGGGGGACUUGAGUGUGGAAAAGGGAAGUGGAAUUCCACGUGUAGCAGUGAAAUGCGUAAAUAUGUGGAGGAACACCGAUGGCGAAGGCAGCCCCCUGGGCCGUCACUGACGCUCAUGCUUAAAAGCCUGGGGAGCAAACAGGAUUAAAUACCCUGGUAGUCCACGCCCUAAACUAUGACUACUAGUUGUUGGGGGAGUUACUCCCUUUUCACCUGGCUUAAUACGUGUUAUUCAACCCCUCUGGAUGAAAGUU